UACGUAGGGGGCAAGCGUUGUCCGGAUUUAUUGGGCGUAAAGAGCGUGUAGGCGGUUUGGUAGGUCCGCUGUGAAAACUCGAGGCUCAACCUCGAGACGCCGGUGGAAACCAUCAGACUAGAGUUCGGUAGGGGAGACUGGAAUUCCUGGUGUAGCGGUGAAAUGCGCAGAUAUCAGGAGGAACACCGGUGGCGAAGGCGGGUCUCUGGGCCGAAACUGACGCUGAGGAGCGAAAGCGGUGGGGAGCAAACAGG
This 254-nucleotide ribosomal RNA is filed under the name uncultured bacterium. Its description in RNAcentral is "partial 16S ribosomal RNA". It matches the Rfam family "Bacterial small subunit ribosomal RNA", at positions 524 to 776 of the family's 1533-position model. The record is from RNAcentral.